GAUGAACGCUGGCGGCGUGCCUAAUACAUGCAAGUCGAGCGAACGGACGAGAAGCUUGCUUCUCUGAUGUUAGCGGCGGACGGGUGAGUAACACGUGGAUAACCUACCUAUAAGACUGGGAUAACUUCGGGAAACCGGAGCUAAUACCGGAUGAUAUUUUGAACCGCAUGGUUCAAAAGUGAAAGACGGUCUUGCUGUCACUUAUAGAUGGAUCCGCGCUGCAUUAGCUAGUUGGUAAGGUAACGGCUUACCAAGGCAACGAUGCAUAGCCGACCUGAGAGGGUGAUCGGCCACACUGGAACGGAGACACGGUCCAGACUCCUGCGGGAGGCAGCAGUAGGGAAUCUUCCGCAAUGGGCGAAAGCCUGACGGAGCAACGCCGCGUGAGUGAUGAAGGUCUUCGGAUCGUAAAACUCUGUUAUUAGGGAAGAACAUAUGUGUAAGUAACUGUGCACAUCUUGACGGUACCUAAUCAGAAAGCCACGGCUAACUACGUG
Molecule: ribosomal RNA, 497 nt
Filed under: uncultured bacterium
Lineage: Bacteria
Description: partial 16S ribosomal RNA
Rfam family: Bacterial small subunit ribosomal RNA
Source: RNAcentral